CAAAAUCUUCAACAUACUUCUUAUUAUUGGUGAGACUUGCGACGCAAACGUCCCAGUUUAAAUCUUUGUCAUAAUAAGUCUCAUUAGUGGGGCUUGCGAAGCAUUCUUCUACAUUGUUUAAGCUAGAAACAUCAUUCAAACUUUAAAAUGUGCAGAACAGUCAGGACCAGUGUGCUUGCAUUCAAGUUUUUGAUAUAUUUUAUUAUUUUUAAACUAAGCUUUUUGUCCUUUUUUACUUUCAUGGGAUUUCUUCAACAUUCUAAGUGUCCCAUUGUGACAUCAACUCCCAGACUUCCAGCAUUCCAUUUACUGUGAACAAUGCAACUUUUGACACAAACCUGAUACCACUUUCCCAACCAUUUUGACAAAAAGUUAGAGCAUAUGAAAUCUUCCUCUACUUCUUUGCAAUUCAAAUCUGAAAUUCGAACAACAAUCUCAUACCGGUCAAACCAUACAGCUGUUUUACUAACUGCAUCAAUGACAUUUCUAUGAACUUUUUAUAAACAACUUAAAUUUGGACCACUUUCCCAACCAGUUAGACAAAAAGUUAUUGUAUGAAAUCUUCCUCUACUUCUCUGCUAUUCAAAUCGGAAAAACUAAAAUAUCUGAUACCAGUCUAACGAUACAGCUGUUUUAGUAACCACAUUGACAUUUUUUAUAAACAACUGACAUUUUGACCACUUUCCCAGAACUUUAGACAAAAUCUUAGAGGGUAUGACAUCUUUGUCUACUUCUUUUGUUUUCAAAUCUGGAAUCAGAACAAAGUUAUUUACUACUAAUCAAAAGUUACAGCUGUCUGAGUUUAGAGUGAUGAAAAGCAGCAAGCUAACGCCAGCUAACAGCUCUCUGUUUCGUCAUUGAGCAGCCCAAACAGCCAUUGCUAUGGAUACUUGCAAAAACUUAAAGAGUUUAACAUCUUGGACUCAGCUAUUUAAAUCUGGAAUCAGAACAGAACGAUCUUCUACCAAUCAAAAGUUACAGAGUUACUGCAGUUUGUCAGAGUUUAGAGUGGCAAAGUAGCUAGCUAACAUCAGCUAAAAGCUCUCUCAUGUCUCAUCAUUGAGCAGCCCAAACAGAGCCGUUGCUAUGGAAACCAAUGCAUUUCAAUGGCCGAAAAAGGGCCAUAGACUACAAUGAAAAAAGACCUAGAAUGUAUUAUCUCCUCUUUCACUGUUUAAGCUAUCGACUCCAAAUCAACGUUGAGAUGUUCAGACUGACCAUACUUAGAUUGCUUGUCAAAAGAUUUUGUAUACUAUAUACAUACAUUUUUUUUUACUAUAACCAUUAAAUGUGCAUAAAUUACAUUGGUUUUAAUGAGAACCAUAGGAAUACAGAAUGGUUUUGCUUUUGGCCAAUUUAGCUACAAGACCAACUUUAAAACAGUCAGGCUAUCCUAACUUCAAAUUCUUUGAAAUGUCUAACUACAUACAUUUUUUUAUUAAUUUGCAUAAAAUAACUAUUGAACCAUUCAAGCUAGAGAGAACAAACCAACUUUCACAUGUUCAGGCUAUCCUACAUUUUAAAUCUUUGUAACUAUAUACAUUUGCAUAAAAUAACCCACCAACAGUAAUUAUUGAACCGUUCAAGCUAGAGACAUCUGUUGCUAUGGAUACUCACACACAGAGGAGCACAUGGGGCAGCGCAGGGAGCAAAGGACAGACAGAGACAAUUCUGCUAUGGAUACUAGCGGAGAAAGUUAUUGUAUUUCUAAUUUCGGGUUGAGCAAUCAGGCCAGGGUAGGGUAGGGCCUGAACGUCUACGCCAUGGGUAGGUUUCUGCUUUUUUUCUUUCUUUCAAACUUCUAACCACUUUCCCAUCAGGCUAGACAGGAACUUAGUGUAUAACAUCUUCCUCUACUUCACUGCUAUUCUAAUAUGUUCCCAGACUCUGCAAAUAACAUCGACGAGCUAAGUACCACCGUCACUAGCUUCAUAAGGAAAAGCAUCGGUGACGUUGUCUCCACAGUGAAUAUUCUUCCCCAAUCAAAAGCCCUGGAUUAACACUGAGGUUGAAGCUAAACUAAAGGACAGGGCUACCACACACAGGGCUAUCGCAGACAACCCUGGGGCUACGGCUAAGGACAGGAACAAGUUCAAGUCCCGCAAUGAUAUAGUAAUAAGGUGGAAUCAUACUACACAGGCUCCGACGCCCACAACAUGUGGCAGGGGCUACAGUCCAUUACAGAUUACAAAGGAAAACCCAGCCGUGAUCUGCCCAACGAUGCCUCUCUUGCAGACAAACGCC
Molecule: long non-coding RNA, 2244 nt
Filed under: Salmo salar (Atlantic salmon)
Lineage: Eukaryota; Metazoa; Chordata; Actinopteri; Salmoniformes; Salmonidae
Description: lncRNA (ENSSSAG00000085489.1)
Source: RNAcentral